AACGAACGCUGGCGGCAUGCCUAACACAUGCAAGUCGAACGAGACCUCCGGGUCUAGUGGCGCACGGGGGCGUAACGGGUGGGAACCUGCCCUUAGGGUCGGAAUAACUCUCCGAAAGGGGUGCCAAUACCGGAUAAUGGCUUCUGACCAAAGAUUUAUCGCCUUUGGAUGGGCCCGCGUGGGAUUAGCUAGUUGUUAGGGUAAAAGCCACCCAAGGCGACGAUCCAUAGCUGGUCUGCGAGGAUGAUCAGCCACACUGGGACUGAGACACGGCCCAGACUCCUACGGGAGGCAGCGGUAGGCAAUAUUGGCCACUGGGCGAGAGCCUGAUCCAGCAUCGCCGCGUAAGUGAUGAAGGCCUUAGGGUUGUAAAGCUCUUUUACCCGAGAUGAUACUGACCGUACCGGGAGAAUAAGCCCCGGCUAACUCCGUG
Molecule: ribosomal RNA, 433 nt
Filed under: uncultured bacterium
Lineage: Bacteria
Description: partial 16S ribosomal RNA
Rfam family: Bacterial small subunit ribosomal RNA
Source: RNAcentral